UGGGGAAUCUUCCGCAAUGGGCGAAAGCCUGACGGAGCAACGCCGCGUGAGUGAAGACGGCCUUCGGGUUGUAAAACUCUGUGAUUCGGGACGAAAGAUAAGCAGACGAAUAAUCUGCAUAAGUGACGGUACCGAAAAAGCAAGCCACGGCUAACUACGUGCCAGCAGCCGCGGUAAUACGUAGGUGGCAAGCGUUGUCCGGAAUUAUUGGGCGUAAAGCGCGCGCAGGCGGCUACUUAAGUCCAUCUUAAAAGUGCGGGGCUUAACCCCGUGAUGGGAUGGAAACUGAGAAGCUGGAGUGUCGGAGAGGAAAGUGGAAUUCCUAGUGUAGCGAUGAAAUGCGUAGAGAUUAGGAAGAACACCGGUGGCGAAGGCGACUUUCUGGACGACAACUGACGCUUAGGCGCGAAAGCGUGGGGAGCAAACAGG
RNAcentral lists this ribosomal RNA (429 nucleotides) under Verrucomicrobiota bacterium. RNAcentral describes it as "Verrucomicrobia bacterium partial 16S ribosomal RNA". It matches the Rfam family "Bacterial small subunit ribosomal RNA", at positions 355 to 776 of the family's 1533-position model. The record is from RNAcentral. Lineage: Bacteria; Pseudomonadati; Verrucomicrobiota.